Molecule: ribosomal RNA, 441 nt
Filed under: uncultured bacterium
Lineage: Bacteria
Description: partial 16S ribosomal RNA
Rfam family: Bacterial small subunit ribosomal RNA
Source: RNAcentral
CCUACGGGUGGCAGCAGUGGGGAAUAUUGCACAAUGGGGGAAACCCUGAUCCAGCAACGCCGCGUGAGUGAGGAAGUAUUUCGGUGUGUAAAGCUCUAUUAGCAGGGAAUAGAAAAGAAGGUACCUGAAAAAGAAGCCCCGGCUAACUACGUGCCAGCAGCCGCGGUAAUACGGAGGGGGCAAGCGUUAUCCGGAUUUACUGGGGGUAAUGGGAGCGUAGACGGAAAGGCAAGUCAGAAGUGAAACCCCAAGGCUCAACGAGGGUACUGCUUUUGAAACUGGCAAACUAGAGUGCGGGAGAGGUAAGUGGAAUUCCUGGUGUAGCGGUGAAAUGCGUAGAUAUUAGGAGGAACACCAGUGGCGAAGGCGUCUAACUGGACCGAAACUGACGUUGAGGCUCGAAAGCGUGGGGAGCAAACAGGAUUAGAUACCCUUGUAGUC